Molecule: ribosomal RNA, 486 nt
Filed under: uncultured bacterium
Lineage: Bacteria
Description: bacterial SSU rRNA
Rfam family: Bacterial small subunit ribosomal RNA
Source: RNAcentral
GACUAACGGCUGGCGGCGUGCCUAAUACAUGCAAGUCGAACGGGAUUCUUUGAUCAGCUUGCUGAGAGAAGGAUCUAGUGGCGGACGGGUGAGUAACGCGUGGGAAUCUGCCUCUUACUGGGGGAUAACAGUGGGAAACUACUGCUAAUACCGCAUAAGAUCUUCGGAUGAAAGGUGCAACUGCACCGGUAAGAGAUGAGCCCGCGUCCCAUUAGCUAGUUGGUGAGGUAAAGGCUCACCAAGGCGACGAUGGGUAGCCGGCCUGAGAGGGUGAACGGCCACACUGGGACUGAGACACGGCCCAGACUCCUACGGGAGGCAGCAGUAGGGAAUCUUCCGCAAUGGGCGCAAGCCUGACGGAGCGACGCCGCGUGAGUGAUGAAGGCCUUCGGGUCGUAAAGCUCUGUUCUUGAGGACGAAUAAGCCAGGGAGUGGAAAGCCCUGGUGAUGACUGUACUCAAGGAGAAAGCUCCGGCUAACUACGUG